UGCCACCCCUCAGUGCUGGAAGGUUGCCGCGUUGGCACAUUGCCGCAGGGCAGGCCCAUCAUGCAGGAAGCCAUUUUACACCUUCAGUUGUCACCUGCAUCUGCAGGAGUUGGUGUUUCACACACCUGCUGAGACAUGAGGCCUCCUAACUGGUGGCACUGGAGGAGAAAUACUGUAGCAGCUUUUAUUUCUGGUGAAAUACAGCCAGGUCAUUGAUAUCGCCUGGCUCCAAAAGCAAGCUGCAAUCUCCAGCUGAAGAAAACUUAUGCAUUGAGAAAAUCCAAUUCCCCUUGGUCUGCUGUGAAGGCUUCAAUACCGGGUUCAUCCAGAAAUAUGCAUCUUGUAGAAUACUGAAAGAUGUCUCUGAGCUAAGUUACUGAUAUGCCACAGCAAUUCAUCUACUUGAAGAAAUAUGGAUUUGUCAGCAAAGGUUUCCUCUGUGCUGGGAGUGGGUCAGAGCCAGCAGGCACUGAGGCACUGAGGCAACAUGCAGCCGGGAUGCAGUGCUCCAGAAGUCAGUGGCAGCUAUGUCAGAGCCAGCAGAAUGAUGUUUGUUGCACACAGAUAUAAACUUUUGCUCUCCUAUUUGCUAACAGGAGGAAUGUGCUUAGCUGAAGAGGUCAGUAGUCUUGAUGUCAGUGAUACCUUGUGGUUAUAAGCUCUGUAGGAAAGCUUUAUUAGAGCUGCCCUUCCCCGUUUAUGAUGAUUGAAUUAAAAGAGACUGCUA
Molecule: long non-coding RNA, 727 nt
Filed under: Gallus gallus (chicken)
Lineage: Eukaryota; Metazoa; Chordata; Aves; Galliformes; Phasianidae
Description: long non-coding RNA NONGGAT007232
Source: RNAcentral